RNAcentral lists this ribosomal RNA (1010 nucleotides) under Bacillus aerius. RNAcentral's name for it is "bacterial SSU rRNA". It matches the Rfam family "Bacterial small subunit ribosomal RNA", at positions 42 to 1039 of the family's 1533-position model. Lineage: Bacteria; Bacillati; Bacillota; Bacilli; Caryophanales; Bacillaceae. The record is from RNAcentral.
GCGUGCUAUACUGCAAGUCGAGCGGACAGAAGGGAGCUUGCUCCCGGAUGUAGCGGCGGACGGGUGAGUAACACGUGGGUAACCUGCCUGUAAGACUGGGAUAACUCCGGGAAACCGGAGCUAAUACCGGAUAGUUCCCUGAACCGCAUGGUUCAAGGAUGAAAGACGGUUUCGGCUGUCACUUACAGAUGGACCCGCGGCGCAUAGCUAGUUGGUGAGGUAACGGCUCACCAAGGCGACGAUGCGUAGCCGACCUGAGAGGGUGAUCGGCCACACUGGGACUGAGACACGGCCCAGACUCCUACGGGAGGCAGCAGUAGGGAAUCUUCCGCAAUGGACGAAAGUCUGACGGAGCAACGCCGCGUGAGUGAUGAAGGUUUUCGGAUCGUAAAGCUCUGUUGUUAGGGAAGAACAAGUGCAAGAGUAACUGCUUGCACCUUGACGGUACCUAACCAGAAAGCCACGGCUAACUACGUGCCAGCAGCCGCGGUAAUACGUAGGUGGCCAGCGUUGUCCGGAAUUAUUGGGCGUAAAGGGCUCGCNGGCGGUUUCUUAAGUCUGAUGUGAAAGCCCCCGGCUCAACCGGGGAGGGUCAUUGGAAACUGGGAAACUUGAGUGCAGAAGAGGAGAGUGGAAUUCCACGUGUAGCGGUGAAAUGCGUAGAGAUGUGGAGGAACACCAGUGGCGAAGGCGACUCUCUGGUCUGUAACUGACGCUGAGGAGCGAAAGCGUGGGGAGCGAACAGGAUUAGAUACCCUGGUAGUCCACGCCGUAAACGAUGAGUGCUAAGUGUUAGGGGGUUUCCGCCCCUUAGUGCUGCAGCUAACGCAUUAAGCACUCCGCCUGGGGAGUACGGUCGCAAGACUGAAACUCAAAGGAAUUGACGGGGGCCCGCACAAGCGGUGGAGCAUGUGGUUUAAUUCGAAGCAACGCGAAGAACCUUACCAGGUCUUGACAUCCUCUGACAACCCUAGAGAUAGGGCUUUCCCUUCGGGGACAGAGUGACAGGU